UGGCUCUGUCAGGCAGGUAG
This 20-nucleotide microRNA is filed under the name Mus musculus (house mouse). RNAcentral's name for it is "mmu-miR-7239-3p". Lineage: Eukaryota; Metazoa; Chordata; Mammalia; Rodentia; Muridae. The record is from miRBase by way of RNAcentral.